RNAcentral lists this ribosomal RNA (429 nucleotides) under uncultured archaeon. RNAcentral describes it as "bacterial SSU rRNA". It matches the Rfam family "Archaeal small subunit ribosomal RNA", at positions 474 to 903 of the family's 1478-position model. The record is from RNAcentral.
UACCAGCUCUCCGAGUGGUAGGGAUGUUUAUUGGGCUUAAAGCGUCCGUAGCCGGCUUAGCAAGUCUCCUGUUAAAUUCAGCGACCUAAUCGUUGAGCCGCGGGAGAUACUACUAGGCUAGGAGGCGGGAGAGGUCAACGGUACUUCCGGGGUAGGGGUGAAAUCCUAUAAUCCCGGGAGGACCACCAGUGGCGAAGGCUGUUGACUAGAACGCGCUCGACGGUGAGGGACGAAAGCUGGGGGAGCGAACCGGAUUAGAUACCCGGGUAGUCCCAGCUGUAAACGAUGCGAGCUAGGUGUUGGGGUGGCUACGUGCCACUUCAGUGCCGCAGGGAAGCCAUUAAGCUCGCCGCCUGGGGAGUACGGCCGCAAGGCUGAAACUUAAGGGAAUUGGCGGGGGAGCACCACAAGGCGUGAAGCUUGCGGUUC